CCUACGGGAGGCAGCAGUGGGGAAUAUUGGACAAUGGGCGAAAGCCUGAUCCAGCAAUUCCGCGUGUGUGAAGAAGGCCUUCGGGUUGUAAAGCACUUUAGUUGGGGAAGAAACAGCUUGGCCACACCAAGCCUUGACGGUACCCAAAGAAUAAGCACCGGCUAACUCUGUGCCAGCAGCCGCGGUAAUACAGAGGGUGCAAGCGUUAAUCGGAUUUACUGGGCGUAAAGGGUGCGUAGGUGGUUUUGUAAGUCGGAUGUGAAAGCCUGGGGCUCAACCUCAGAAUUGCACUCGAUACUGCAAGACUAGAGUUCGGUAGAGGGCGGCGGAAUUCCCGGUGUAGCGGUGAAAUGCGUAGAUAUCGGGAGGAACAUCAAUGGCGAAGGCAGCCGCCUGGGCCUGAACUGACACUGAGGCACGAAAGCGUGGGUAGCAAACAGGAUUAGAUACCCUGGUAGUCCACGCUGUAAACGAUGAGAACUUGACGUUGGUUCGUUUUACGAAUCGGUGUCGCAGCUAACGCGAUAAGUUCUCCGCCUGGGGAGUACGGCCGCAAGGUUGAAACUUCAAAAGUGUAAGUGGCGUGNGAGAGCGACGACGACGACGACGGAGGAGGAGG
Molecule: ribosomal RNA, 619 nt
Filed under: uncultured bacterium
Lineage: Bacteria
Description: bacterial SSU rRNA
Rfam family: Bacterial small subunit ribosomal RNA
Source: RNAcentral